Molecule: long non-coding RNA, 325 nt
Filed under: Elaeis guineensis (African oil palm)
Lineage: Eukaryota; Viridiplantae; Streptophyta; Magnoliopsida; Arecales; Arecaceae
Description: long non-coding RNA (EGUI_LNC035386)
Source: RNAcentral
AUCUAUUAGCAAAGUGCUGAAGUAGAACAUUCCGAACAGCUUGGUCCUCGUAAACCCACUGCCCACUGCUAUCUUUUAAUGCAGAAAUUCGACUACGUCAUUUUCGAAUAAUAGUUGACCGAUGGAAGAACUUUGUAUUCCGAUCUCUUAGCUGCAACCAUUGGACCCUAGAUUUCUGCUUCUAAAAUAACUCUUGCAUAGAUAGAUUCAUAUUGUACUCACGUAGCAGUCGCAAGGGAGUCAUAUGGGAGCCAUGAUCAAAGUAAGAAGACUGUGAUUCCAUAAUUUGAAGGGACAAAAUUUGCUGAUAUAACUCUUCUCCUCG